UGCCGGUAGUGACAGCGCCACCAAGAGCGCAAGAUACUGCACCGGGAAGCUGCAAAUCCACUCACUUCACAUCACCGUGCUGGGAUACGCCGCCACUUGAUGCUCAACCUCCGCUCAUCGCUUUUUUAGGUUCAAGUUGAUACCUCAUUGGAUCAUUCGUCGGGUAUUGUAUACUCAUGUGGCGGGAGCAUCAUUACAAGGAACGUUAUUCUGACUGCGUCGCACUACUUGUUUACAGUCGGACGCCCGAAGCCACGAGAAGGAAAUCCAGCGAUACGGCCCAUGACAUUUGGAACUAUUGAAGAUAAUGUGGGUCUGAGCUCGGUAAGCUACUUCUUUGGCAGAAAACGAUAAGUGCGCAGUAGCAAUACGACUGUCUGAGACCCAACGCUAGCU
Non-coding RNA from Dermacentor andersoni, 396 nucleotides. NCBI's taxonomy places the organism in Eukaryota, Metazoa, Arthropoda, Arachnida, Ixodida, Ixodidae. The record is from RefSeq and is a predicted model, not a curated record.